Molecule: long non-coding RNA, 1812 nt
Organism: Monopterus albus (swamp eel)
Lineage: Eukaryota; Metazoa; Chordata; Actinopteri; Synbranchiformes; Synbranchidae
Exons: 4
Source: RefSeq, a predicted model, not a curated record
UGACGAUGCUAAAUUGCUUGAAUACACAAAUGGGACAUGUAACUUUGAAUUCAAAGAUCUGAGCUACUCUACCAGCUACACGGUGCAGGUGUCAGUUUCCAACGGACAUUUUGAGAGCAGCCGCCCCGCGACAAAAGAUGUUGACACUCUCUAUAAUGACAAAGCUGUCAUUGGUAUUCUCAUCUUUCUCAUCAUCCUCACAUCUGUGACUCUGCUUCUGGUCAUCUACAAGAUAUGCACUUUAAAGUGCAAUAAGUCCAAGACUCUUCAAAACUAACUUCAGAGGACUGCAGAAAUGUAAACUGAGUGGAGGGGAAAAGACUGGGACACUGAAGAGCAUUGUCACACAACCCCAUUUCUAAAAAAGUUGAGACACUGUGUAAAAUGAAAAAUAAAUAAAUUCAAUGGUUUGCAAAUUAUAAGAAAAAAAUCCUGUAUUUAACUGAUAAUUGCACAAAAAAGCAUAAGUUGAAAGAAAUUUAGUUUUUUGAAAAAUAUGCUCAAUUUAAAAUUUGAUUUCAAACAGGGAAAGGUGCAGUACAUACAGUAUGUACCCCUCUUAUGCUUUGCGCAUAACCUCAUGCAUACGUGGACAUGGACGAGGGAUGCGUAUGCAUUCCUAUUCAUAUUUCAAAUAGAAGGUCUGCGUUCUGUCCACGUACACUGACGGUUUCCAAGCAUUGUGGUACAUGCACAGUUGGGGCUUUUGCUGUAUGAAGCAUCCACAUAAACUUUUGGUCUGCACAUGGAUGUCAGAGCGGAGCUGCACAGACCCUUGUGGACCUGCGACAAUGAUGAAAAUUGCAUCACUCGACCUUAGCAGACAUGCAGAACCCCAAAGCAUGAAUGCCUCUGAGGAGACCAGCUGCUUUAAUUUUGAAAGAGAAAUGUUUUCCCUUUCUUGCUUGAUACAGGAUUUCACUGGGUCUCCUUUGUUGUAUUUUUCAUUUCAUAAUGUGCCAAAUGUUUCCCGAGUGACAGGCCUGGACUGCAGACCGGCUAGUUUAGCACCCAGAACCUUUUUACGGAGCAGUGCUCCUUGAAUACAUGCAGACUGUGGUUUGGCAUUGUCUUGAUGAAAUAAACAAGGCCUUCUCUAAAAGGCCUUCCUCUUUAGCAUGGGGGAUGCAGCAUCCAUGAUUUCAAAAAAGAAUUUCAGUUUUUCACUCUUCAGACAACAGCACAGUUUCUCCACUUCACCUCCGUCCAUCUUAAAGUUCAAGCCCAGAGAAGGUGGCGGCAUGUCUGGAUCUCUUCUUUUUCCUCAGCAUGACUUGAUGAGUUGUAACUUACAUUUAUGUACGCACCAAUGAACAAUGUUUACUGGCAGUGGUUUCCAAAGGUGUCCAGGAGCCCCUGCAGUGAUUUGAUGAUAUAGAAUGAUGUCUGUAUUUUAAUGCAUUUUCACCUGUGGGUCUGAGGAUCACAGCCAUUCAGGAAUGGGUUUCAGUCUUAUCCCAUGCUAGAUAGGUUUCUCUGGAUUCUCUGGAUCUUUUGAGGUUAUGUACUGUAGAUGAGUAAGAACCCCAAAUCUUUGCAACUUUAUUUUUAGAAAUGUUAUUCUAAAAUUGUUGAACUAUUUGUGUAGUGAACCUCAUCGUAUCUUUACUUCUGAAAUACUCAGCCUCUCUGGGAGGCUUUCAGAAUAAACCUAUAUAAGCCAAAAUAUAUUAAAUUUAUUAAUUUGAACAUUAGAUAUCUUAUUUUUGUACAGUUAUCAAAUGAAUAGAGGGUAAAGGGGGUUUUAAAUUUACAGUGUCCCAACAUUUUCUGGAAACAGGGUCGUAUGUUACAAAGACAAAAAAACACUCU